RNAcentral lists this long non-coding RNA (733 nucleotides) under Vulpes vulpes (red fox). RNAcentral describes it as "lncRNA (ENSVVUG00000029674.1)". Lineage: Eukaryota; Metazoa; Chordata; Mammalia; Carnivora; Canidae. The record is from RNAcentral.
AUUUGCACCAAAAUCAUCUGACUCCCAAGCCUCUUCUCUUAACUGCUAUGAUAUGUAGCCCCCGCCGUGUCCCCCCUCACCUAGUGGUCACAGUCCAGGUCCUUGGAGUCAAGACCAAACCUGAAUCUGAAGCCUAACUAAGCACUUAGUACUAAGGAGUUUAGACUGCUUCCCAAGCUUCAUCAAACACUGCAAUGGUCUUUCAAAACUCUCCUAGCCAUGAAAAAGGAUAUGAAAUAAUUGUAUCAAUGCUCUGCCAAGUACAUUUAAAUAUUUUGUUAUUGGUUGAAACAAAAUGCAAAUCUUGUGGGCCUCAUCCAAUGUGUUCAAAUGCAAAGAAAGAUACCAAGAAGGUCUCUCCCACACUGAAGAGGGAGGAUGGUGCCACGACUUCUAGGUGGUGGGAAGACCCAGCUCCAGCGUGGGCUUCCACUCUUCUUCCCAGGAAAGAAUUGAAGGCAUAAAGAAAAUAGGUUGUUAAAUAUUUCAAAGUACAGAAAGGUGAAAGGAAUUCUGUAAAGAACACCCAUAUGCCUACUACUCAGCUAAAGAAAUGAAUCAUCACAAGUAUGGUUGAAGCCCCUGUAUACACCCUAUUCUGUUUUCCCAUACCCUAUCUUUCUCCCUUCUUCCAGAUACAAGUUUUUUUAUUUUAUUUUAUAUACAUUAAUGGGUCCCUAACCAAAAAAAAAAGUGUUCCUUUCAAGUUUUUAGACUACAUAAUAGAAUUCUG